UGGGGAAUAUUGGACAAUGGGCGCAAGCCUGAUCCAGCCAUGCCGCGUGAGUGAUGAAGGCCCUAGGGUUGUAAAGCUCUUUCACCGGUGAAGAUAAUGACGGUAACCGGAGAAGAAGCCCCGGCUAACUUCGUGCCAGCAGCCGCGGUAAUACGAAGGGGGCUAGCGUUGUUCGGAUUUACUGGGCGUAAAGCGCACGUAGGCGGACUUUUAAGUCAGGGGUGAAAUCCCGGGGCUCAACCCCGGAACUGCCUUUGAUACUGGAAGUCUUGAGUAUGGUAGAGGUGAGUGGAAUUCCGAGUGUAGAGGUGAAAUUCGUAGAUAUUCGGAGGAACACCAGUGGCGAAGGCGGCUCACUGGACCAUUACUGACGCUGAGGUGCGAAAAGCGUGGGGAGCAAAACAGGAUUAGAUACCCCUGGUAGUCCACGCCGUAAACGAUGAAUGUUUAGCCGUUGGGGAGUUUUACUCUUCGGUGGCGCAGCUAACNCAUUAAACAUUCCGCCUGGGGAGUACGUCGCAAGA
This 524-nucleotide ribosomal RNA is filed under the name uncultured bacterium. RNAcentral describes it as "partial 16S ribosomal RNA". It matches the Rfam family "Bacterial small subunit ribosomal RNA", at positions 355 to 893 of the family's 1533-position model. The record is from RNAcentral.